RNAcentral lists this ribosomal RNA (1707 nucleotides) under Escherichia coli. RNAcentral's name for it is "bacterial LSU rRNA". It matches the Rfam family "Bacterial large subunit ribosomal RNA", at positions 1252 to 2925 of the family's 2925-position model. Lineage: Bacteria; Pseudomonadati; Pseudomonadota; Gammaproteobacteria; Enterobacterales; Enterobacteriaceae. The record is from RNAcentral.
GAAGGUGUGCUGUGAGGCAUGCUGGAGGUAUCAGAAGUGCGAAUGCUGACAUAAGUAACGAUAAAGCGGGUGAAAAGCCCGCUCGCCGGAAGACCAAGGGUUCCUGUCCAACGUUAAUCGGGGCAGGGUGAGUCGACCCCUAAGGCGAGGCCGAAAGGCGUAGUCGAUGGGAAACAGGUUAAUAUUCCUGUACUUGGUGUUACUGCGAAGGGGGGACGGAGAAGGCUAUGUUGGCCGGGCGACGGUUGUCCCGGUUUAAGCGUGUAGGCUGGUUUUCCAGGCAAAUCCGGAAAAUCAAGGCUGAGGCGUGAUGACGAGGCACUACGGUGCUGAAGCAACAAAUGCCCUGCUUCCAGGAAAAGCCUCUAAGCAUCAGGUAACAUCAAAUCGUACCCCAAACCGACACAGGUGGUCAGGUAGAGAAUACCAAGGCGCUUGAGAGAACUCGGGUGAAGGAACUAGGCAAAAUGGUGCCGUAACUUCGGGAGAAGGCACGCUGAUAUGUAGGUGAAGUCCCUCGCGGAUGGAGCUGAAAUCAGUCGAAGAUACCAGCUGGCUGCAACUGUUUAUUAAAAACACAGCACUGUGCAAACACGAAAGUGGACGUAUACGGUGUGACGCCUGCCCGGUGCCGGAAGGUUAAUUGAUGGGGUUAGCCGCAAGGCGAAGCUCUUGAUCGAAGCCCCGGUAAACGGCGGCCGUAACUAUAACGGUCCUAAGGUAGCGAAAUUCCUUGUCGGGUAAGUUCCGACCUGCACGAAUGGCGUAAUGAUGGCCAGGCUGUCUCCACCCGAGACUCAGUGAAAUUGAACUCGCUGUGAAGAUGCAGUGUACCCGCGGCAAGACGGAAAGACCCCGUGAACCUUUACUAUAGCUUGACACUGAACAUUGAGCCUUGAUGUGUAGGAUAGGUGGGAGGCUUUGAAGUGUGGACGCCAGUCUGCAUGGAGCCGACCUUGAAAUACCACCCUUUAAUGUUUGAUGUUCUAACGUUGACCCGUAAUCCGGGUUGCGGACAGUGUCUGGUGGGUAGUUUGACUGGGGCGGUCUCCUCCUAAAGAGUAACGGAGGAGCACGAAGGUUGGCUAAUCCUGGUCGGACAUCAGGAGGUUAGUGCAAUGGCAUAAGCCAGCUUGACUGCGAGCGUGACGGCGCGAGCAGGUGCGAAAGCAGGUCAUAGUGAUCCGGUGGUUCUGAAUGGAAGGGCCAUCGCUCAACGGAUAAAAGGUACUCCGGGGAUAACAGGCUGAUACCGCCCAAGAGUUCAUAUCGACGGCGGUGUUUGGCACCUCGAUGUCGGCUCAUCACAUCCUGGGGCUGAAGUAGGUCCCAAGGGUAUGGCUGUUCGCCAUUUAAAGUGGUACGCGAGCUGGGUUUAGAACGUCGUGAGACAGUUCGGUCCCUAUCUGCCGUGGGCGCUGGAGAACUGAGGGGGGCUGCUCCUAGUACGAGAGGACCGGAGUGGACGCAUCACUGGUGUUCGGGUUGUCAUGCCAAUGGCACUGCCCGGUAGCUAAAUGCGGAAGAGAUAAGUGCUGAAAGCAUCUAAGCACGAAACUUGCCCCGAGAUGAGUUCUCCCUGACUCCUUGAGAGUCCUGAAGGAACGUUGAAGACGACGACGUUGAUAGGCCGGGUGUGUAAGCGCAGCGAUGCGUUGAGCUAACCGGUACUAAUGAACCGUGAGGCUUAACCUUACAACGCCGAAG